RNAcentral lists this long non-coding RNA (2402 nucleotides) under Oreochromis niloticus (Nile tilapia). RNAcentral's name for it is "lncRNA (ENSONIG00000033590.1)". Lineage: Eukaryota; Metazoa; Chordata; Actinopteri; Cichliformes; Cichlidae. The record is from RNAcentral.
AACAGCAGACACCAUGACAAGCCUUGCAGCCUUCUGUAAAACAUAAAAAAGUUGCACGUGUUUAUGAAAUCGUACCCUGUUGGCAAGCGGCAGAAUCUGACAAAAGCAGCAAUGGACGCCACCGCUUCCAUGAUCAUCAUGAGAAGGUCCACAUUCACCUCGGAGACCUCCACACUCAGCAGCCGGUCCUCCAGAGCCUCAGACUCUGGAACAUGCUGAAAAACAACCAGCGUUAAGAUCAGGGAGACCCGAGCCUGCUGCUUUUACAAGACACAUUUAUGUGACUGCUGACUUACAGUGUUGCUCCAUUUCAUCAUGCUUCUAUACAUGCUCUCCUGUGAAAAGAGUAGAAGAUGAAAGGGGAUUACAUCAAUCACUGAUCCUCUGUUUGUACAAUAAAUACUGAAUAACUCUCCUCCUGGUUAGAGUGUUUUUAAUGUUCUAUUGACCACAUUUAAUAAGAUAAAUAUUGGACUCCACUGUAAGUGAGAAGUAACUCGAUCCUGGUUUGCAUCUUUGUGGCAAAGGAUUCAUACUUCAGGAUAGUAACGACACAACAUAUAACCAAAGUUUUGCAGGAACUAUUUGAUGCUAUUUGAACUAUUUGAUGCUAUUUGAGUGUCAGUGUCAGGUCUGACGGUGCCCCGACCGGCGACCUGUGUGUAUGUGUGUGUUUGUUCUCCUCUCUCUCGCUCUGUUUUUUCCUCUCCGGCUCCGCUGCGAUUGUUACGCGGUCGCGUAGCAACGGGAGAUCUCCGACCCGGAAGUGCUGCCGCUCUGACCUGUCCCACCUGCGACUGAUUCCUCGCCAGCUGCUGCCAAUCAUCCACCGUCGUUGGCAGAGCUAUUUAAUGGUGUGGCUGAGUGACAGACAGCGCUGGAGUAUUGCACCAAGCCUGGAAGCGAACGAGACGGAGAGACGGAAGGAGAGACGUCACUGAUUCACGGGAGUUGUGUGGACACACGAGGGGAGACGGGGAGAGGAGCACUGAAGGGACUUGCACUAUGGAUAACUGUGGAUUGGCUUCACUGUAAAUAAAGACACUGUUGAACUUUAACGAGAGGUCCGCGUCUGGGUUCACUAACUCACCAUCCUUAACACUCAGUGACUUUCCGCAACAGUUGUCAGACCUCAAUUCCUCUUAACAUGUAGCUGUGGAGAGAGUUCUCAGAAAGGUCCUGAAUAGCUGGCCCACAAGGAAACUUGAGAUGGGAAACGCUGAAGCUAGAAGGUUAGCAGCGACUGAAGUUUCAAAAUAAGUAAGGGCAUUACUUAAUAGUCAGUAAAACACUCUAUAACCUAUGUCUGGGUCUUUAAAGUUUACACAGGGCUGACUUCACAAGAAGCUCUGUGGAAAUUUAAAGUGGUGGCGGAAUGACGUGGGUUGUCGCCUAUGAACAGAAAAGUGGAUAAAGUUCAUGCAGCUUUUGUGCUGCUGUUGCAAAAAGGAAGGAACAAUACAGACAAAUAAUAAUAAAUACCUGAUUUGAAAUUCAUGCAUAUUUUUAGUUUUUCCAUUUCUUAUUCAGAUAUUUAUCAAUAAGUGACUUAUAUGUAUGUAUAUAUUGUGCUAUUCCUUACUUCUUGUAUCUUGUAUCUGUCUUUGUUACUGUUUGUACUGUAACCAAUAUAUUUCCCCCAGGGAUCAAUAAAGUAUUCUGAGUCUCAUUCUAUUAAUAUUAGCCCAGAGAAGGAUGAUGCUGUGCUCACUCCUUAGAGGAGGAAUCUGUUUUGAUUGGGAUCUGAAUAGUUUGAGUGAAACAGGAGCAUGCCCUGAUUUAACAGCCCCCGAUUGCUCCAUUUUCAUACCUCACUUGAACCAGGAAGCAUGUCUUGUAAAACAAUGUGGAUUCUGAGCGUCCACUCUCCAACAGUAACUGGAUUUUUGAGGUAAUCUCUGGCGAAAUCGCAGCACGCAUCCCAGCUGUUAAAAACACAAAGGCCUGGAGGGGAAAAAUGAUGCAGAGGAAACAUUCAAUAUUAAUCAUUAAAUUGAAUUAAAUUUGCAAAUGCAAAUUUCUCUGUAUCAGCCUGCUGGGUCUACUCCUCACCCUCCUCUGCAGUGAUAAAACGAUUAUGUUGUAGUACAGAGUCUGAACCGUCUGAUCAGGGAAGUAACGCCACACCAGCUUGGUGACAUCCUCCUGUCUGUAGUUUCCUUCUGGCAAACCGGUCAACAUGAUCGUGGAGAACGUAGAACCUUGAGAUUGGGCUUUCUACAAGACACAAGGUUCAAGAACCAAAGUUUAUUUGAAGAGAAACUUUGCGGUACUUUUAAAAUAUAUAUAUUACUAUUACUGACCACAUAGAGAAGACAAAAUGAAACCAAGUUUAGCAGAAAAAAAGAAACGUGGUUUUUGAGGUGAGUAUUUGGAAAAAUGGACACCUCUUGGUAUUUACU